This 758-nucleotide small RNA is filed under the name Cryptococcus neoformans H99. RNAcentral's name for it is "Cryptococcus neoformans var. grubii H99 hypothetical RNA". The record is from RNAcentral. Lineage: Eukaryota; Fungi; Basidiomycota; Tremellomycetes; Tremellales; Cryptococcaceae.
CGUGGUCUGACCUUCUUAACUUUCAGUCUCAAUCCUCAAAGCGAAGUCCGUAUUGUUGUCAAAGGUGGAAAGCCUUCGUAUUGAAUGAGGGAAGAUUGACACUUUGCUGCAACCUUGCCUUUCCGUGCGAGGAAGGAGUAGAGAUACUUAUAUCAUGGAAAUCGGAGCUGAGACCUACGUUGGAGUUCUAGCGAUGCCCCACUGCUUGUGGUAGAAAUUUGCUGGCCGAACGUCAGUCCUACUUCGCUGUCUAUUUCUAACUCUUUUGUGGCCUCGUUUUUCUGGGAACCAUGCCCAAGCGGGACUUGAAUGAGAGGGCACGGGUGGGGAAAAGCUGUCAAAACUGUCGGGGUCGAAAGUGUACCCAUUCAAUUUUGAACGAGAUACCAGCCUUGGAAUAUAGCGCUAUAAUGCUCCAUGCCCGAAAGUAUCUGUAGUGUCUGAAGUCUCAGAUGACGGCUAGCGUGCGAGAAAGGAGAAUACUGGAAGGAAAAGCCGUCCAUAUUUUUGAAUGGAUGUCUGUAAAAAGGCGUCAAUGAAGGGUAGAGGGUCGGGGAAUGAAUAUGCUCCUGUAGGGAAAGAGGAGAAACCGGCGAAAUAGAUUCGAUGACACCCGCCGCACAAGAUGCGCUGCAUCUACACACCCCCUUCUUUGACAAGCAACAAUAGAAUGACCAACAAUACCCGUACGGUGGAGCAACAACGUUUGCCGAAUAGAUUUCCCCUCUCAUAUUAUGUCUAAUGUUGUGAAAAACUGG